Molecule: long non-coding RNA, 572 nt
Organism: Selaginella moellendorffii
Lineage: Eukaryota; Viridiplantae; Streptophyta; Lycopodiopsida; Selaginellales; Selaginellaceae
Exons: 2
Source: RefSeq, a predicted model, not a curated record
UAUCUAGUCUCUCUGCGCUAGGCCGCCCCACCGCAGCGCCCACGCCCAAGGAUCUCGCAGUUGCCAUGGCGUCGCGGCUCCGAUCCAUCGCUAGGGCUCUUGGAAUGUAGCGUCGGGGAAGACUCGUCUAUCUUGGAAGAGGGUUUGGCGGCGAAUCCCGCAGCAAUGUGGCAGCAGCAGCAGCAACAGCAAUCCGAGUGGAGGAAUGCGAAUCAUCCAUUCUGGCAGCAGUACCAGCGGCAGCAGCAGUACCAGCAGCAGCAGCAGCAGCAGUGGAGGAAUCAAAACCAGACGAUUUUCCUCGCGAGUUUCCACAGGCGCCACUAAACAUAUUGGCGAUAUAUUGGCGAUGGAACGCGCAGGACUUCUCAAGGGCCUGGAACUGGAGCAAGGCGGCCUUUUCGUGGAACCAAAGAGACAAUAGGAAUUGGUAAGGUGGGAGGUUUGUGAGGCAGGAUGAUAUUCAGACGCCAUAGUUGCAGCUAGACGUGCAAACGUUCCCACGUGUUAACGUUUAAACGCUGUUUAAAACGUUUCUUUUCAGGACAAUCCAACGUUUACAUGUUAAAGCC